GAUGAAGAACGCAGCGAAAUGCGAUAAGUAAUGUGAAUUGCAGAAUUCAGUGAAUCAUCGAAUCUUUGAACGCACCUUGCGCUCCUUGGUAUUCCGAGGAGCAUGCCUGUUUGAGUGUCAUUAAUAUAUCAACCUUCACUUGUUGAAUGGUUUGGAUGUGGGGGUUUGCUGGUCUCUUAAAGGGUUCAGCUCCUCUAAAAUGCAUUAGCAGAACAAUCUGUUCAUUGGUGUGAUAACUAUCUACGCUCUUGAAUAAGAUGCAGUUCAGCUUUCUAACUGUCCUCGGACAAUUUAUCAUUUAUGUGACCUCAAAUCAGGUAGGACUACCCGCUGAACUUAAGCAUAUCAAUAAGCGGAGA
Molecule: unclassified non-coding RNA, 359 nt
Filed under: soil metagenome
Description: partial contains 5.8S ribosomal RNA, internal transcribed spacer 2, and large subunit ribosomal RNA
Rfam family: 5.8S ribosomal RNA (bases 1-120)
Source: RNAcentral